UUCAAAAACAAGCACAAAUAAUUUGACACUUUCUAACAGCAGCAAAUAAUGUGAUGUCUCAAUUGUAAAAUAGUACCAAGGCAAUAUGCAGAUGAAUGUACACUUCCUGACAGCAACAAACGAAGCAAGAAUUCAGGUAAGGUGAUGAUUCCAGAUGCACAAGUCAGGAGCACAGCACAGAUGGAUUGAAUGUCUUCUGACAGCAGUAAGAGGAAAGCACACAGAAACUUAGAGUUCAGAUUCUUUGAAAUUUUACACCAAGAUCUCCUAAUUAGAAUCAAUGUUAACCAAACACACAGAAAAUAGAGCAAAUUUAUCACACUGUCAGUCAAUGCUUACAGAUUUCAGGACAAAUGAAUGACUGAUUUUCUUCA
Molecule: long non-coding RNA, 374 nt
Organism: Amaranthus tricolor (Joseph's coat)
Lineage: Eukaryota; Viridiplantae; Streptophyta; Magnoliopsida; Caryophyllales; Amaranthaceae
Exons: 2
Source: RefSeq, a predicted model, not a curated record